UGCACCUUCUGAGCUGCCUUGUGCACC
This 27-nucleotide non-coding RNA is filed under the name Homo sapiens (human). The record is from RNAcentral. Lineage: Eukaryota; Metazoa; Chordata; Mammalia; Primates; Hominidae.